This 879-nucleotide long non-coding RNA is filed under the name Homo sapiens (human). RNAcentral describes it as "non-protein coding lnc-DENND4A-1:1". The record is from RNAcentral. Lineage: Eukaryota; Metazoa; Chordata; Mammalia; Primates; Hominidae.
AGAACCAGAACAGCAGAGGAAGCUCUUCACUGGAGGGUUGAGCUUGGAAUGAGAGCCUGAGGAGCCAUUUUGAGCAAUGGGGAACGCUCACAGACUGUGUGGUAAUGAGAGAUCCAAGCACCAAGCGCUCCAGGGGCUUAGGGUUUGUCACAUAUGCCCCUGUGGAGGCAGUGGAUGCAGCCGUGAAUGCAAGGCCACGCAAGGUGGAUGAAAGAGCUGUGGAAACAGAGAGCUGUCUCAAGAGAAGAUUCUCAAAGACCCAGUGCCCACUUAACUGUGAAAAAGAUAUUUGUUGGUGGCAUUAAAGAAGACACAGGACACUGAAGAACAGCACCUAAGAGAUUAUUUUGAACAGUAUGGAAAAAUUGAAGUGAUUGAAAUCAUGACUGACCGAGUCAGUGGCAAGAAAAGGGGCUUUGCCUUUAUAACCUUUGACUACCAUGACUCUGUGGAUAAGACUGUCAUUCAGAAAUAACCAUACUGUGAAGUUAGGAAAGCCCUGUUAAAGCAAGAGAUGGCUGGUGCUUCAGCCAGCCACAGAGGUCAAAGUGGCUCUGGAAACUUUGGUGGUAGUCAUGGAGGUAGUUUCGGUGGGAAUGACAAUUUUGGUCAUGGAGGAAACUUAAGUGGUCUUGGUGGCUUUAAUGACAGCUCUGGUGGUGGUGGAUAUGGUGGCAGUGGGGAUGGGUAUAAUGGAUUUAGUAAUGAUGGAAGCAAUUUUGGGGGUGGUGGAAGCUACGAUGAUUUUGGCAAUUACAACAAUCGGUCUUCAAAUUUCAGACCCAUGAAGGGAAGAAACUUUGGAGGCAGAAGCUCUGGCCCCUAUGGUGGUGGAGGCCAAUACUUUGCCCAACCACGAAACCAAGGUGGCCGUGGCGG